RNAcentral lists this ribosomal RNA (510 nucleotides) under uncultured bacterium. RNAcentral describes it as "partial 16S ribosomal RNA". It matches the Rfam family "Bacterial small subunit ribosomal RNA", at positions 28 to 507 of the family's 1533-position model. The record is from RNAcentral.
GACGAACGCUGGCGGCGUGCUUAACACAUGCAAGUCGAACGAAGAGCGACGGAAGCUUGCUUCUAUCAAUCUUAGUGGCGAACGGGUGAGUAACGCGUAAUCAACCUGCCCUUCAGAGGGGGACAACAGUUGGAAACGACUGCUAAUACCGCAUACGAUCUAACCUCGGCAUCGAGGAUAGAUGAAAGGUGGCCUCUACAUGUAAGCUAUCACUGAAGGAGGGGAUUGCGUCUGAUUAGCUAGUUGGAGGGGUAACGGCCCACCAAGGCGAGGAUCAGUAGCCGGUCUGAGAGGAUGAACGGCCACAGUGGGACUGAGACACGGCCCAGACUCCUACGGGAGGCAGCAGUGGGGAAUCUUCCGCAAUGGACGAAAGUCUGACGGAGCAACGCCGCGUGAGUGAUGACGGCCUUCGGGUUGUAAAGCUCUGUUAAUCGGGACGAAAGGCCUUCUUGCGAAUAGUGAGAAGGAUUGACGGUACCGGAAUAGAAAGCCACGGCUAACUACGUG